GUCGGUGGGCGUGUGGACUGUCGACCUGCCGCCAAUUUGGUGCUCUCUCUCGCUCUCGGGCCCAUCGCCCAGCACAACCCGCAAACCAAUAAAUGAGUGCCACCGCCGGAGCGAGCAAAUCGGUCGGGUCCGGCACGGCGCCAUCGCGUCCGUACGUGCACGUCUGCGCGCAGCGCGACGUCGUGCCGAGCCGCGAGCUCGCGAUCGCCUGUCCCCUUCGGCGGCGGCAGCAACAGCCGCGCGAGACCGCGAGCGCAUACUUGUGUCUCUAGAUUGCUGGCGGCAACAGACCAACAGCAGCGGCGCUGGCGGAGUCGCCAGUAGCUCUAGCUCCCCGCAGCGAUAGGAAGAAAGAAGGGAUGUUAGGCUGUCCGCAGUCGCGCGCUCCACGCAAAACUGUAUCGAGAUAGCGUUUACUCUUCAACUGCAGCGGUCAACUGUAUCCGUGACUGCACCGUCGCUGAGGCAUGGCAAAACUUCAAAUGUAGCGUUCUACCAGCGGCUGCGCUAUCCUCUCGACGUGGCUCCUCUCCGUUGGCGGCAUGCAAGGCAGCAGGAGCCUCGAGCACGCGGCGUAGGCGCUCUUCAUUGCCUCGCCGAGUUAUCCAUAGGGACCACGCUGCUGGAGAAAAUCUCAUCAAGCACCACUACUUCGGACCUAAUCCAGUGUAUCCACCACAUGUUUUUCGUCGAAGGUUUUGGAUGCAUCGUCCUUUGUUCCUACGUAUCCUUCGGGGCGUUCAGCGAGAAGGUGACUUUUUCACUAUUCGAUGUGAUGCAACAGGUUUAGCGGGGCUCAGUCCAUUGCAAAAAGUAUGUGCUGCUUUGCGUAUCCUAGCUUACGGGUUACCAACCGAUGCGGUUGAUGAGUACAUACAGAUUGGGCAGACUACGGCUAGGGACUGUCUGAUUCGUUUCUGUCGCGCAAUCAUAUCCUGCUUUAGCGAACGAUACCUCUGUAUCCCUAACCACGAAGACAUUGCUCGCAUACUUAGUUUAAACGCGGACAUGGGGUUUCCGGGUAUGCUAGGCUCCAUCGAUUGUAUGCAUUAGGAAUGGCGCAGCUAUCCUACUGCAUGGCGGGGACAGUUUUGUGGGCGCAAUUCGAGGCCAACAAUGAUACUAGAGGCAGUCGUUGGGUAUGACCUGUGGAUUUGGCAUGCCUUUUUCGGAAUGCCUGGUACUAACAAUGAUCUGAACGUGCUGCAUCGCUCACCUGUGUUUGAUCUGUUACGUAAUGGUACCAUGCCACCAGUGCACUUCACUAUUAAUGGUACCACGUACAAAUUCGGAUACUACUUGUCGGACCACCCCAGGGGACUAAUGUCCAUUCUCUAGCUUUGAUCCUGAGGUUGUCGGACCCGCAGGACUUAUAACUCUAGAUACUAAGUUCCCGUCACGGGGUGGUGGAGCAUGUAGGCCCACGGUACAGGACCUGGCUGAGCGGCUACACGGGCUCCGGACUACCCUAUGGAACGGGGUCCCGUUUUCUAGAGCCGGCCCCCAGGCUGUCGGACCUCCCCACUUUCGUGUCAGGGACCCUAAACUACAAGCCUAGCUAUUCAAUUCGGAUGUCUCCAUGUCAGACAGAUGGAACCCGUACGGGUGGGUUAGCUGAAAGGCAUUAUCUAAAAGACUGCAAGGUGGGACCAUGGAGCAGCA
Molecule: long non-coding RNA, 1662 nt
Organism: Zea mays
Lineage: Eukaryota; Viridiplantae; Streptophyta; Magnoliopsida; Poales; Poaceae
Exons: 3
Source: RefSeq, a predicted model, not a curated record